This 596-nucleotide ribosomal RNA is filed under the name Salmonella enterica. Its description in RNAcentral is "partial 23S ribosomal RNA". It matches the Rfam family "Bacterial large subunit ribosomal RNA", at positions 1 to 623 of the family's 2925-position model. Lineage: Bacteria; Pseudomonadati; Pseudomonadota; Gammaproteobacteria; Enterobacterales; Enterobacteriaceae. The record is from RNAcentral.
GGUUAAGCGACUAAGCGUACACGGUGGAUGCCCUGGCAGUCAGAGGCGAUGAAGGGCGUGCUAAUCUGCGAUAAGCGCCGGUAAGGUGAUAUGAACCGUUAUAACCGGCGAUACCCGAAUGGGGAAACCCAGUGUGAUUCGUCACACUAUCAUUAACUGAAUCCAUAGGUUAAUGAGGCGAACCGGGGGAACUGAAACAUCUAAGUACCCCGAGGAAAAGAAAUCAACCGAGAUUCCCCCAGUAGCGGCGAGCGAACGGGGAGGAGCCCAGAGCCUGAAUCAGCAUGUGUGUUAGUGGAAGCGUCUGGAAAGGCGCGCGAUACAGGGUGACAGCCCCGUACACAAAAGCGCAUAUGCUGUGAGCUCGAUGAGUAGGGCGGGACACGUGGUAUCCUGUCUGAAUAUGGGGGGACCAUCCUCCAAGGCUAAAUACUCCUGACUGACCGAUAGUGAACCAGUACCGUGAGGGAAAGGCGAAAAGAACCCCGGCGAGGGGAGUGAAAAAGAACCUGAAACCGUGUACGUACAAGCAGUGGGAGCCCCACCACUAAGCCAGUGGUGAACUCCACAUACGCAUCCUUUGCUGAGGAUACGGU